Magnolia sinica is the source of this 352-nucleotide long non-coding RNA. RefSeq lists it as uncharacterized. Lineage: Eukaryota; Viridiplantae; Streptophyta; Magnoliopsida; Magnoliales; Magnoliaceae. The record is from RefSeq and is a predicted model, not a curated record. The transcript is spliced from 3 exons.
UGCAGCUCACGUACAGCAAAUUUGAAUAUGAUGGGAAAAUUGAUCCGUCUUUCGUGGAAGGUCCAUUUCAACUUCCAUUAUCAAGAAUUGCAGCAUAUAUAAAUGACCCAGUCACUCCCAGGUUCAUACAUGUGAGCUCUGCGGGAGUUACUCAGCCUGACAGGCCUGGACUUGGUUUAAGCAAACAACCUCCCGCCGUCCGCUUGAAUAAGGAGUUGGACUUCAUUCUCACAUUCAAAUUGAAGAGGGAGGAUUUGAUGCGGGAAAGUAGAAUUCCAUAUACAAUUGUAAGGCCUUGUGCGCUUACUGAAGAGCCUGCUGGAGCCGAUCUCAUUUUUGACAAGGGAGAUAA